Armigeres subalbatus is the source of this 246-nucleotide long non-coding RNA. RefSeq lists it as uncharacterized. The transcript is spliced from 2 exons. NCBI's taxonomy places the organism in Eukaryota, Metazoa, Arthropoda, Insecta, Diptera, Culicidae. The record is from RefSeq and is a predicted model, not a curated record.
UACAUUAAAUGGACAUCCCUGAAUAUCUGAAUUUAAAAAGUAGGUGAAACAAAAUUUCAAUAAAAAUGGGAAUACCAAAUCGCUGGCACAUUCGAAUGAGAACCUGGACGAAAAUUUGUUGGCUACUACAGCCACCGAUGAACUGCAGCUGAUGCAGAUGAUUAUAUUUAUUUAACCUUUUUUGUUUGCAUGUUUCAUGAAACGAGUAUGUAUACAUAUAAUUAUUUUCAAAGAAUUAAAUAAAAA